Molecule: long non-coding RNA, 1083 nt
Organism: Acipenser ruthenus (sterlet)
Lineage: Eukaryota; Metazoa; Chordata; Actinopteri; Acipenseriformes; Acipenseridae
Exons: 3
Source: RefSeq, a predicted model, not a curated record
AUUACAAGUGGGUACUUCUGCUCCAUCUCCUUAUUUGCUGCCGUAAUUUGUUGAAAUCGAGUUGUCAUCACAGUUCCAAUCACGGCAGUUAAUGAUGAAAGCGCUUUAAUACGGCAGAAUUCUCGCGGCCAUGCUAUUAGAUAAUUAGAGAAGAUUUCAAGAACUGCAAGUGCUAAUCCUUGGGCCCGAGGACAGGAUUUCUAUUCGAUCAGACAGAAGCAGUCUGUAUAAACACGGGUGUGUGUGCCAGGCAUCGCUUUUGGUGUUGCUGCUGCAACCCACCGCACACGAGUCCAGGUGGUCGACAACCUGCAUUUUAAUUUCCGAGAAUCUUUGAGAGGAGGGGAGGCCUCAGUAUCCACAAGCCCACUCCAUUAAUCUGGAAUUAAUGGUCAUAAUCCUAGAAAGAACAGAAGCUGCCAUUGUGGGAGAUGCUGGCAGGUGCUCAGAAAUGGAAUAAAGGAGCUACGAGGUAAUCACCAGAGAUGUGUUCCUCCUUGUUUCAUCCCUUAUGAAGAUUACUAACAUACGGUCUAAUGGCUUUGCAGAGAUGAGAUCUGAAGACAAUGCUGCUGCAGAGAUAACAAAAUAAAAAGAAAUAGCUUGUUGCCUCUUGUAAUGACCAUGGAAACUAUACAAAGACAGGGGCUUACUGUAAUUUACUCAUUUACAUACAGCGCUUCUGCAAUGCUAAAGCCCUGUAAUACCUUAUUUGCUAUACUGUGGCAGUCACAUUUGUUAUUCAAUUGAACCAUGAAAACUAAAAAGAUGUUGCUGCACAAUUAAAUGAAAUUAAGCCAAUAUAUAAUAAAAUGCCAAUGGCUAUUAUGCUACUAUUGUGCGUUAUACAAUAUUUGAAUUGGACAACACAACUCUGUAUAGCUACUCAAAAUCACAGACAAUAACAUACUGUACAAUAUCUUGCUGCUCUUUACAAUUCUUACCUAUGCCUUAACCUACUUUCACUGUGCUUUAUUACACUUUGCUCUGCAUUUACUGUGGUAAACUUUGACAAGGGUAAUAACACCUGUCUUGAAGAUCCAGUAAUUGUGUUUUAAAAGAUGCUUUGCAAUUUAAACCAUA